RNAcentral lists this ribosomal RNA (441 nucleotides) under uncultured bacterium. RNAcentral's name for it is "partial 16S ribosomal RNA". It matches the Rfam family "Bacterial small subunit ribosomal RNA", at positions 338 to 795 of the family's 1533-position model. The record is from RNAcentral.
CCUACGGGAGGCAGCAGUAGGGAAUAUUGCGCAAUGGGGGAAACCCUGACGCAGCAACGCCGCGUGAUCGAUGAAGACCUUCGGGGUUUUAAGAUCUGUCAGUGGGGACGAAACCUCACGGUACCCACCGCGGAAGAACUGGCUAACUCCGUGCCAGCAGCCGCGGCAAUACGGGGGGUGCAAGCGUUGUCCGGAAUCAUUGGGCGUAAAGUGUUCGUAGGUGGGACGUUAAGUCUGGUGGUAAAGUCGGAAGCGCAACUUCCGUAGGGCAGUGGAUACUGGCGAGCUUGAGUGCGUUAGAGGUAAGGGGAAUGCCUGGUGUAGCGGUGAAAUGCGUAGAUAUCAGGAGGAACAUCGGUGGCGAAGGCGCUAUACGGGGCCGUAAUUGACGCUGAGGAACGAAAGCCGGGGUAGCAAAUGGGAUUAGAUACCCUUGUAGUC